RNAcentral lists this ribosomal RNA (274 nucleotides) under uncultured bacterium. Its description in RNAcentral is "partial 16S ribosomal RNA". It matches the Rfam family "Bacterial small subunit ribosomal RNA", at positions 523 to 796 of the family's 1533-position model. The record is from RNAcentral.
AUACGGAGGGAGCAAGCGUUAUUCGGAAUCACUGGGCGUAAAGGACGCGUAGGCGGGUUUGUAAGUCAGGUGUGAAAUCCUACAGCUCAACUGUAGAACUGCACUUGAAACUACAGACCUAGAGUAUGGAAGGGGCAGAUGGAAUUAGUGGUGUAGGGGUAAAAUCCGUAGAUAUCACUAGGAAUACCGAAAGCGAAGGCGAUCUGCUGGGACAUUACUGACGCUGAGGCAUGAAAGCGUGGGGAGCAAACAGGAUUAGAAACCCUAGUAGUCC